UGGGGAAUAUUGCACAAUGGACGGAAGUCUGAUGCAGCAACGCCGCGUGCGGGAUGACGGCCUUCGGGUUGUAAACCGCUUUUUCUCAUGACGAAGUUUUUUGACGGUAGUGGGGGAAGAAGCACCGGCUAACUACGUGCCAGCAGCCGCGGUGAUACGUAGGGUGCGAGCGUUGUCCGUACUUAUUGGGCGUAAAGAGCUUGUAGGCGGUUUGUCGCGUCGAUAGUGCAAACUCAGUGCUUAACGCUGAGCCUGCUGUUGAUACGGGCAGAAUAGAGGAAGGUAGGGGAGAAUGGAAUUCCCGGUGGGGCGGUGGAAUGCGCAGAUAUCGGGAGGAACACCGGUGGCGAAGGCGGUUCUCUGGGCCUUUCCUGACGCUGAGAAGCGAAAGCGUGGGGAGCGAACAGG
Molecule: ribosomal RNA, 408 nt
Filed under: Fusobacteriota bacterium
Lineage: Bacteria; Fusobacteriati; Fusobacteriota
Description: Fusobacteria bacterium partial 16S ribosomal RNA
Rfam family: Bacterial small subunit ribosomal RNA
Source: RNAcentral